AAGCAGCUUACCAGAGAUACUUCUGGAGAAGAGUUCAGAGUUCAGGAGAGUCCGUCUCUGAAGUUUGUGAACUAAACCCGUUAUAAUAUAAUCAGUGUGCAGACAGACAGACAGAAGGAGACAUGUCAGGCAGCAGGUUGAUGAGAGCCAUCAGAGUCAGUGAGUUCGGAGCUCCGUCGGUGCUCAGACUGAGAUCCGAUGUGAAGGUUCCUCAACCCGGACACUCUCAGGUGUUGAUUCGUGUCCAUGCCUGUGGAGUGAAUCCUGUGGAAACUUACAUCCGGGCUGGGACGUACGCCCGUAAGCCUUCCCUGCCAUACACACCGGGCUCAGACGUAGCCGGCGUGGUGGAAACUGUUGGGGAAGGAGUCACAGCAGUAAAGGCAGGAGACCGUGUGUUCACCACGGCCACAGAGUCGGGAGGUUACGCAGAGUUCACCGUAGCAGCUGACCAGUGUGUCCACAAGCUGCCCGACGCCUUAGACUUCACCCAGGGCGCCGCCAUCGGGAUCCCUUACUUCACCGCCUACAGAGCUCUGGUUCACAAAGCCCACGCCAAAGCUGGAGAGACCGUCCUCAUCCAUGGAGCCAGCGGAGGGGUUGGUGUGGCGGCGUGCCAGUUGUCUCGUGCUCUGGGUCUCAAGGUGCUGGGGACAGCGGGGACAGCAGAGGGAAUGAAGCUGGUACUCAACAACGGAGCUCACCUGGCCUUUAAUCACAGAGAAGACGGCUACACAGACAAAAUCAUGGAAGCCACAGAGGGCAGAGGCAUCGAUGUGAUAGUAGAGAUGCUGUCUAACAUCAACCUGAGUAAAGACCUCCAGAUGUUGACCUUUGGAGGACGUGUUACGAUCAUCGGCUGCAGAGGCUCUGUAGAGAUCAACCCCAGAGACACCAUGGCUAAAGAGAGCAGCAUCAUGGGAGUGGCCCUUUUCUUUGCUACACCGGAGGAGACCAAGGAGUGUGCAGCGCUGCUCUACGCUGGGAUGGAAGCCGGUUGGCUGCGUCCGGUCGUCGGUUCCCAGUAUGCGCUGGACAAGGCCGCCCAGGCCCACCAUGACAUCAUCGAGUGUCCCGGGGCGGCUGGGAAGACGGUCCUGACCAUGUGAGGAUGUGAUCAUAUCACAGGUCAAAGGUCACCAAGUAGGAGUUGGCUGUCCAGUCCAUAAAGGGGAGAAAACUUUGCUUAACGCGGCUACAAUAAGCUUCACAUAAUUACUGAAAAUCAACUUUGAUAUUUGAAGGAUGUUACUAUAAUGUGCUGAUUUAUCAUCACUGCCAAUAUGGGUACAAGAAUAUACAAAGGAUAUAAUGUUUACCUUAUAACUGAUGAUUACACAAGACUCAUGAACUAUAGCCAAAGAUCGUAUAGUUUAUUGCCAAGAAGUGAAAGUCAAUCGUUCGUUCCAUUGCAACGUCAGUGGCAAAGCUACGCUUCCACCAUUUUGGCAUACUCGCCAGCACUCCCGAUUUUCCCGGGAGACUCGUUUUUCCUCCCGGGGUCACAAUUCUUCCGUAUUUCUCCAGAUUUUUGACAAUUAUUUUUCCUUUUCAUUAUAUCAGCGUGUUUCUGGAACUGAACAGCGUGUAUAAUCCCUACUGUUUCCACCCGGACGACAGUAGAGCUACACCAACUGUUGUUUCCCGGCAGAGGAGAGCAGUCUAUGCUCCCGACACAGCGCAGUUUGAGCUCAUGUUUAAGCUGCGCUCGCCAAAGCGUGCAGCGCCCAAAGUCAGGCUUUGCUCGAUUUGGCAAAAAGCCGUCGUGGCGCAACACUAGCCGUUAGAAAUAACGGGUUUCAGAGCGCAAGAUUAACACGCCAAGUUCACGUCAGAGGGGCGAAUUAUUCAGUUUUCUUUCCUGGGAGUUAAAGGUAAAAUCAAAUGUUUAACAUAAAAAUGCUGUUGCAGUUUACUUAUUCUUUCUUCUAAUUGUGUUCAUGCUACAUGAUAGAUUAUUACGACACAUAUGUUGUAAUUCAGCUUCCUCAAAAAUAGCAUGAAGUUCUGUGAAAACAUUCUUAUUGAUCCUGUAUUCUGACAUAUUAACCAAACGAUUCCAGUCUUAUCAUUUCACACGUACCUACAGUAUUAAAUAAAUUGUGAAUGAAAAUAAUAAAUAUAUACAUUUUAAAAAAGA
Sebastes umbrosus (honeycomb rockfish) is the source of this 2140-nucleotide RNA transcript. It is a transcript of the gene named crystallin, zeta (quinone reductase), with no coding region annotated. The record is from RefSeq and is a predicted model, not a curated record. NCBI's taxonomy places the organism in Eukaryota, Metazoa, Chordata, Actinopteri, Perciformes, Sebastidae. The transcript has 9 exons.